This 497-nucleotide ribosomal RNA is filed under the name uncultured bacterium. RNAcentral's name for it is "partial 16S ribosomal RNA". It matches the Rfam family "Bacterial small subunit ribosomal RNA", at positions 28 to 507 of the family's 1533-position model. The record is from RNAcentral.
GAUGAACGCUGGCGGCGUGCCUAAUACAUGCAAGUCGAGCGAACGGACGAGAAGCUUGCUUCUCUGAUGUUAGCGGCGGACGGGUGAGUAACACGUGGAUACCCUACCUAUAAGACUGGGAUAACUUCGGGACACCGGAGCUAAUACCGUAUAAUAUUUUGAACCGCAUGGUUCAAAAGUGAAAGACGGUCUUGCUGUCACUUAUAGAUGGAUCCGCGCUGCAUUAGCUAGUUGGUAAGGUAACGGCUUACCAAGGCAACGAUGCAUAGCCGACCUGAGAGGGUGAUCGGCCACACUGGAACUGAGACACGGUCCAGACUCCUACGGGAGGCAGCAGUAGGGAAUCUUCCGCAAUGGGCGAAAGCCUGACGGAGCAACGCCGCGUGAGUGAUGAAGGUCUUCGGAUCGUAAAACUCUGUUAUGAGGGAAGAACAUAUGUGUAAGUAACUGUGCACAUCUUGACGGUACCUAAUCAGAAAGCCACGGCUAACUACGUG